AACGCAUUCACCUUUAUUCCAUUCCUAUGUUUCAAUACAUCUCCAUUUCUGAGAGGAUUCCUACAAAUAAAUGUCUUCAGCCUUACAGAUGAUACAUUGUAAAUACAAAUAUACAAUAUAAUCAUUGCUACAGACAAGCAGCCACACCAUCGUUGUCUAACACUGAACAUUUAAUUACUAACUUGCUGCUUCCCCAGGAGCUCUCCGGUAAACAACUAUCUCAUCUGAACUUGGUUUGGCAUUAUAUUGCCCAUAAAAUGCAUAAAUUGCAGCCAUGAUGAUGCUCAGGACAAAGAAUCUCACCCAUGCUUCAUGAUGCAGCUGAGCAAACAGGAAGAUGUUGAAGAAGAUGCCAACAACUGGCACAAUUGGAACACCAGGACAAGAAAAUCCAGGAGGAUCCGUGUAAACUUGACGAAAAUAAAGAGCUGCAGCAGCAAGUACAGCUAUGACAAUUGCUAUAACCAAGAAAACAACUGAAGCACCAUAACGAAAAAACAGACCAGCAGCAAAGCCACAGCAGGCAACUAUGAUAAGGCAAAUGACUCCUUCCUGCCAGGCUGAAGUCCACCUUGAAGAAACUUGACUCACUGCCUUAUCCUUCCAACGCAGGGUUACUACACAAGCUGAAACAACAGAAUAACCUGUCUGCAAAAGUUUAAUGUGAUGUGAGGUGCAUAUAACCUGCUAAUAAUAGUUAAAGAAAAAAAGGUACUAGUUCACUAGUCCUGGUUACUAGCACAAUACAUGUCCAUAUAUUCAGAAGAUAUAUAUUGCUGCAUCCCAAAUCCGAAGAAAAAAAUACCAGAUGAUUAUGGUACAUAAAAAAAGUAUCAGAAUGACGUACCAAUGAACCAACAGAAAGAAUGUGGGAAAGCACAUGCACAUUAAAUAAUCCCCCCAAAAUGCUGGCAACAAUACCAACCCAAACUUGAGAAUGAAUAGGAGUAUGGUGCGUUGGGUGAACUUUAGCAAAUAUAGAAGGCAGUAAACCAUCUCUUCCAAGCCCCAGGUACAACCGAGACUGCUCAUAAGAAACACAGCAAAAUUCACAUAUGCAAAGCCAUAUAAUAGUAUGCCAAUUGUGUAGAAAGGCUGAAGCAAUUCACCUGAACAUAAAGACCAACUAAAAGAGUGGUUGUAAGUCCAGCAACAGCACCUACGCUGAUUAAAACAGAAAUGUACUUCAAGCCCUUGGAUUUAAAAGCCUCAGCCAAAGGAGCAUCUUCACCAAGGAGAUUGUAAGGUACCAUCCCAGUGAGCACUAAACAAACUCCAAUAUACAAGACAACGCAUAUAAAAAGGCUUCCUAUGAUGCCCAGUGGCAAAUCCCGCUGUGGUCUCUUUGCUUCUUCAGCUGAAUUUGCAACAGCAUCAAACCCAACAUAUGCAAAAAAUACUACAGUUGCACCAGUCAAUAUUGCUUUAACACCCUUCGGAGCAAAAGGAGACCAAUUUGAAACAUCAACCUCAAAAGCACCCACAAAGAUGACAAUGAUAACAAUAACAAUCUUUGUCACAGUCAUGAAAAAGUUCAAAGUCGAAGAUUCUCCAACACCCCAGCACAGAAUUACAGUCAGAAGAGUAAGGAGAAUUGGUGCUAACACGUUGAUAGAAAGUGUUCCUCCGAAGAAUUCUUGACCACCAUGUCCAAUCCAGCUUGGAAUGUGAUCUCUAAAAAGGGGAAAGAGUUCUAAAAUUGUGACUACAUAACUUGCUAAACUUCGCGCUAUGCUAGCUGCCCCAAUGUGGUAAUCAAGCAUCAGUUGACCAAAAACAAGGAAAGCAGUGAUUUCAUUGAAAGCUGAAUAUGCAUACAAGUAUGCUCCUCCAACAACAGCAGGGAAACGAGAAGCCAGCUCAGCAUAACAGAGUGCAUUUAAUAUACAUGAUACUCCGGCUAGUAUGAAACUAAUUGUGACUCCAGGUCCAGCAUCGCGAGCGACGGUUCCGGUGACGACGAAGAUACCGGCACCAAUGGAGGCACCAACGCCAAGCAGAAUAAGAUCGAAGAGACCGAGACGGCGGACGAGUCCAUCGGAGGAAUUUGUAGCGACGAUAGUGUCAAAGGGUGAAUUUAUAGGUUUGGUCCUGCGAGCAGAGGACCAACACUGAGAAAACCAGGAAGGCGGUGCUUUAGAGAAAGAGUUGCUGCUUGCCAUCGACAACGGUUGCCUGCCUUCACUGUUAGGACCAAUUUAGAUUUUCAUUUUCAACGCGUUAUGGUUUCUCCUUCUAUAUAUACGGCGUCCAGGUACACUCCGUU
Molecule: unclassified non-coding RNA, 2266 nt
Filed under: Hevea brasiliensis (rubber tree)
Lineage: Eukaryota; Viridiplantae; Streptophyta; Magnoliopsida; Malpighiales; Euphorbiaceae
Source: RNAcentral